RNAcentral lists this transfer RNA (63 nucleotides) under Macropsis huangbana. Its description in RNAcentral is "tRNA-Gly". Lineage: Eukaryota; Metazoa; Arthropoda; Insecta; Hemiptera; Cicadellidae. RNAcentral also lists the same sequence under 1 other name. The record is from RNAcentral.
UAUUCAUUUAGUAUAAAAAGUAUUUAAAGCUUCCAACUUUAAGGUCUUAAAAAGAAUGAAUAA